GAUGAACGCUGGCGGCGUGCCUAAUACAUGCAAGUCGAGCGAACGGACGAGAAGCUUGCUUCUCUGAUGUUAGCGGCGGACGGGUGAGUAACACGUGGAUAACCUACCUAUAAGACUGGGAUAACUUCGGGAAACCGGAGCUAAUGCCGGAUAAUAUUUUGAACCGCAUGGUUCAAAAGUGAAAGACGGUCUUGCUGUCACUUAUAGAUGGAUCCGCGCUGCAUUAGCUAGUUGGUAAGGUAACGGCUUACCAGGGCAACGAUGCAUAGCCGACCUGAGAGGGUGAUCGGCCACACUGGAACUGAGACACGGUCCAGACUCCUACGGGAGGCAGCAGUAGGGAAUCUUCCGCAAUGGGCGAAAGCCUGACGGAGCAACGCCGCGUGAGUGAUGAAGGUCUUCGGAUCGUAAAACUCUGUUAUUAGGGAAGAACAUAUGUGUAAGUAACUGUGCACAUCUUGACGGUACCUAAUCAGAAAGCCACGGCUAACUACGUG
Molecule: ribosomal RNA, 497 nt
Filed under: uncultured bacterium
Lineage: Bacteria
Description: partial 16S ribosomal RNA
Rfam family: Bacterial small subunit ribosomal RNA
Source: RNAcentral